UGAUCUCGGGAGGCACGCGUGGGGGAUGCCCGGUGCGCAGGCGACGGUUACUUCUGGGGACCCGGAGGUCGUGGGUUCGAAUCCCACCCGGCUCGUC
This 97-nucleotide transfer RNA is filed under the name Streptomyces spororaveus. RNAcentral's name for it is "tRNA-Leu". Lineage: Bacteria; Bacillati; Actinomycetota; Actinomycetes; Kitasatosporales; Streptomycetaceae. The record is from RNAcentral.